Molecule: ribosomal RNA, 301 nt
Filed under: uncultured bacterium
Lineage: Bacteria
Description: partial 16S ribosomal RNA
Rfam family: Bacterial small subunit ribosomal RNA
Source: RNAcentral
CAGUCGCCGCGGUAAUACGGAGGGGGCUAGCGUUGUUCGGAAUUACUGGGCGUAAAGCGCACGUAGGCGGCUUGGUAAGUUAGAGGUGAAAGCCCGGAGCUCAACUCCGGAAUUGCCUUUAAGACUGCCGAGCUAGCAGGUGAGAGAGGUAAGUGGAAUUCCGAGUGUAGAGGUGAAAUUCGUAGAUAUUCGGAAGAACACCAGUGGCGAAGGCGGCUUACUGGCUCAUACUGGACGCUGAGGUGCGAAAGCGUGGGGAGCAAACAGGAUUAGAUACCCCAGUAGUCCCUGUCUCUUAUAA